Molecule: ribosomal RNA, 459 nt
Filed under: uncultured bacterium
Lineage: Bacteria
Description: partial 16S ribosomal RNA
Rfam family: Bacterial small subunit ribosomal RNA
Source: RNAcentral
CCUACGGGUGGCAGCAGUGAGGAAUAUUGGUCAAUGGCCGAGAGGCUGAACCAGCCAAGUCGCGUGAGGGAAGACGGCCCUACGGGUUGUAAACCUCUUUUGUCGGGGAGCAAAGAGAGUCACGUGUGACUCAUUGAGAGUACCCGAAGAAAAAGCAUCGGCUAACUCCGGGCCAGCAGCCGCGGUAAUCCGGAGGAUGAGAGCGUUAUCCGGAUUUAUUGGGUUUAAGGGGGGCGCAGGCGGAGGUGCAAGUCAGCGGUAAAAUUGCGGGGCUCAACCCCGUACUGCCGUUGAAACUGCAUCCCUUGAGUGCGCGAGAAGUAUGCGGAAUGCGUGGUGUAGCGGUGAAAUGCAUAGAUAUCACGCAGAACUCCGAUGGCGAAGGCAGCAUACCGGCGCGCAACUGACGCUCAUGCACGAAAGCGUGGGUAUCGAACAGGAUUAGAUACCCCAGUAGUC